GACGAACGCUGGCGGCGUGCUUAACACAUGCAAGUCGAACGGAAAGGCCCUGCUUUUGUGGGGUGCUCGAGUGGCGAACGGGUGAGUAACACGUGAGUAACCUGACCUUGACUCUGGGAUAACUUCAGGAAACUGGGGCUAAUACCGGAUAGGAGCUCCUGCUGCAUGGUGGGGGUUGGAAAGUUUCGGCGGUUGGGGAUGGACUCGCGGCUUAUCAGCUUGUUGGUGGGGUAGUGGCUUACCAAGGCGUUGACGGGUAGCCGGCCUGAGAGGGUGACCGGCCACAUGGGGACUGAGAUACGGGCCAGACUCCUACGGGAGGCAGCAGUGGGGAAUAUUGCACAAUGGGCGGAAGCCUGAUGCAGCAACGCCGCGUGCGGGAUGACGGCCUUCGGGUUGUAAACCGCUUUCGCCUGUGACGAAGCGUGAGUGACGGUAAUGGGUAAAGAAGCACCGGCUAACUACGUG
Molecule: ribosomal RNA, 468 nt
Filed under: uncultured bacterium
Lineage: Bacteria
Description: partial 16S ribosomal RNA
Rfam family: Bacterial small subunit ribosomal RNA
Source: RNAcentral